CAUAGGCAGGCAUGCUUUACACAUGCAAGUCGAACGGCAGCACGGGGAGCUUGCUCCCUGGUGGCGAGUGGCGAACGGGUGAGUAAUAUAUCGGAACGUGUCCAAUAAUGGGGGAUAACUAGUCGAAAGAUUAGCUAAUACCGCAUACGCCCUGNGGGGGAAAGUGGGGGAUCUUCGGACCUCACGUUAAUGGAGCGGCCGAUAUCUGAUUAGCUAGUUGGUGGGGUAAAAGCCUACCAAGGCGACGAUCAGUAGCUGGUCUGAGAGGAUGAUCAGCCACACUGGGACUGAGACACGGCCCAGACUCCUACGGGAGGCAGCAGUGGGGAAUUUUGGACAAUGGGCGAAAGCCUGAUCCAGCCAUGCCGCGUGAGUGAAGAAGGCCUUCGGGUUGUAAAGCUCUUUCGCAAGGAAAGAAAACUUAUCUACUAAUACUAGAUGAGGAUGACGGUACCUUGAUAAGAAGCACCGGCUAACUACGUGCCAGCAGCCGCGGUAAUA
RNAcentral lists this ribosomal RNA (501 nucleotides) under uncultured bacterium. RNAcentral's name for it is "bacterial SSU rRNA". It matches the Rfam family "Bacterial small subunit ribosomal RNA", at positions 38 to 525 of the family's 1533-position model. The record is from RNAcentral.